CGUCAGCUCGUGUCGUGAGAUGUUGGUUAAGUCCGUAACGAGCGCAACCCUUGUCCUUAGUUACCAGCACGUUAUGGUGGGCGACUCUAAGGAGACUGCCGGUGACAAACCGGAGGAAGGUGGGGAUGACGUCAAGUCAUCAUGGCCCUUACGGCCUGGGCUACACACGUGCUACAAUGGUCGGUACAAAGGGUUGCCAAGCCGCGAGGUGGAGCUAAUCCCAUAAACCGAUCGUAGUCCGGAUCGCAGUCUGCAACUCGACUGCGUGAAGUCGGAAUCGCUAGUAAUCGUGAAUCAGCAUGCCGCGGUGAAUACGUUCCCGGGCCUU
This 328-nucleotide ribosomal RNA is filed under the name uncultured Pseudomonadaceae bacterium. Its description in RNAcentral is "bacterial SSU rRNA". It matches the Rfam family "Bacterial small subunit ribosomal RNA", at positions 1053 to 1382 of the family's 1533-position model. The record is from RNAcentral. Lineage: Bacteria; Pseudomonadati; Pseudomonadota; Gammaproteobacteria; Pseudomonadales; Pseudomonadaceae.